Molecule: non-coding RNA, 3719 nt
Organism: Microcebus murinus (gray mouse lemur)
Lineage: Eukaryota; Metazoa; Chordata; Mammalia; Primates; Cheirogaleidae
Source: RefSeq, a predicted model, not a curated record
CGGCAGUUGGAAAGCGGAUCUGAGCAGAGGGGACCGUUGGGACGAGGCGGCUGUUGGGGAGGGACUGUUGAGGGACAGAGGACAGGACUGUGACCUCAAAGAGGCGAGCUGAGGGCGGACACUGGCUGGAAGAGGAUUAAACGAACUCAUGGAUGUAAAGUAAUAUGUGUAAAGCACUGAACAGAGGCUGCCGUAAUCAGGGGCAAGAAGAGAUUGGAGGAGCCACUCCAGGGGCUACUGAAAAUAAGGCCAUGCGCAGUCGCAGACCCCUGGGGGAAAGCACGCAGAAUGGAGGCGUCACGACACCGAGCACCAGCUAGAUGCCAGAGACGGUUCUUCACUGUGACUCAAGGUGAAAGUCAUGCUUGGCUGAUACCACCUGUGUCCGUCUGGAGUUAGAUCUGAGGACAGAAGCUCCUCUAGCCAGAGACAGUAUCUGAGCCAUCCCUGAGAUCCCCGCAAGGCCCCACUGACAGGUCUGGGGAAGUUCCAAGACCCCACCAAGCUCCAGCCACCACAUACGGCCAUCUUGUGCCCAGUCCCUCCCCGCCCCUCCGUUGGAGGAGCAGGGUGCUGCGGGAGAAAGAGCCCUGGAUUUGGAGUCAGGGUCUAGAGGAGGUCUGCACCAUCCUGCCCAAUGACCUUGAGCAAACGGACUCUUCCCUCUGUGCUUGAAUCUCCGCAUCUGUAAACCACGGAUAUAUGGCAUCGGACCCGAGUCUCCCAGGAGCCUUUUGGGCCUACCUCUGUUUCCUCUGCAAAGCUCGGCCCAGAUACCAUCUUUGCCACCAUCUCCCCUCCGAUGGCCGUCCCUGUCACUUGGUGCUCCUUCCUGCUCCCCCAGCCCACCGUACUCUACUCUGUCAAAUCUUUGCCUCAUGUUCCCUCGAUCAUCUGCCUCACUGGAGAAACUGCAAGGAGGCUGGAAGCGUCUGCUCAUUUCUGGGGCCCAAAGUGCCGGUCCCGCUGGCUGGGGCAUGGAAAGCCACCAAUAGCUGGUGCUGAGUGGCCACCCUUGCCCAGCCACGGGGAUGAGACCUCCGGCCAAGGAGAGGCGCUGGGGCCCUCCCCAGGGAAGAGCCUGAACGCGGCCCAGCUGUGGACAGCACGAUGCCUUUCCUGUUAGUUGUCGAGACGCGCCCGACAGUGCGACGUGUUGGUUCUGGUGACACGACUGCCCUGUGUCGGCGUGGGCAGACUGCUGGCCUCCCCGAGGAGCACAGAAGGGGGCCUGCAGGACCCGAGCGGGCAGGCUUGUUGAUGGUGCGUGCACAGGUGACAGCUCUUGGUGCUGACUGCUGCUCCACGUGCCCUGCUCACACUCCCCGCCGCAGACCGAGGGCCCCAGGUGGCCAGCCUGCCUGAGCCGCACCUGGGAGAGACCCUGGUUCCGGUCGGCGUCCCGCAGGGGCCUGUGCCCGAGGAGGGAGCUGCCUCUGCUCCACACCUGGCGUCGUCCACGUCCGCGCUUCUUCCAGGGGAGUGACUGUCACUGGUGAGGGCCGGCCAGGUACCUUUGGUGACGUCUCCGUGCAGAGGCUGAGCCGGGUGCGCAGUCUGGCUGGGAUCCCGCUCACUGCGUGAUCCCGAGGGGGGCUCCGAACCUGGAGUGCUGGGGGUCGUCCCUGCGGCUCUGCCACGUGCCGCCUGCGUCACUUUGGAAAAGUUAUCUCUGUCUUCUCCUCUGUCCCGUGGUGGUUGUGUGAAUAGUCCCGAUCUGAUCGGGCGGUGCAGGGUUUCUAUGAGGUCAUAUAGGCAGAAGGUUCUUCGAGCAGAGUUAUUUUACUUAUAAAGAUAAAAAAAAAAUUGGAAUUCACCCUAAAAAGAGUAUUUGACCUCAGUAUCGUUGGGUGUCUGGGAUUGAGGGGUGUUCAUGAAUGGGCAGCAGGGAUUGAUGAACCCUCCCCAAGCUGCAAAGCUUUGCACCUGUGUGUGCGUGUAGAAAUGUUUUGCCCCUCUUAACUAAGAUGCUCAGAGGCGUCGUGUUUCCAGAUUGGAUGCCGGGGGGACCUCAAGUGCCUUUGUUGUAGGCCAGAGUUUCUCAGCCUUGGCACUAUUGAUGUUUAAGGGCCAGAUCAUUUCUGGUUGUGGGGCCCCGUCCCGUGCAUUGCAGGGUGAUUAGCAGUUUCUUGGGCUCUGUCUGUCAAAUGCCAGUCACAGCCUCCACCCCGUCCCCAGCCCAGUUUUGAAACGAAAAAUGUCUCCAGACAUCGCUCAGUGUCCCUGGGGGAGAGAGUGGGGACGAGCUUGCUCCCCGUUGAGAACUGUUGCUUUGCGACGUUCCCUGGGGACUCAGCCCUCGGCGAGUGGUUCUUACUCCCCGUGUUGAAGUUUAGCGAGAUUCCUUUUCUGAACCUUGGUGAUCUCUACUACUUCUGUGCAGAGUCUGGAGGACCCCGUGCAGUCCGGGGAAAGGGGUUUUGCAAAGUCGAUGGACUACAGGUCUGUCCAAGGCCAGCCCCAUUGGAUAGAAAGUUCUGGUUCUUAAACCUGGCAGGGCAGCCGAAUCAACUGGAACCUGGUUCUUUCUGUCUUCUACAAUUAGCUAAAAUAGUAGGAGCUACACCUGAAAUUAACCACGGAUUCUCUGGGGAGCAAAAUCUUGAGGUGAACUUCUUUUGUGGGGAAUAUGUUUUUGUUCAACCACAAGUCUCAGAAUUGGUAGUUCCGCAUCCUGGGGGAAGACCAGAGAAGGGUCUUAAGGAGAAGGCCCAGAAGGAAACAGAGGUGGAAGCACUUGAGGUCCCCACUAUUUAGGAGGUAGUCUCAAAGAUCAGGGGACAGGGGUGGGCACCUGCUCCUGGGGUCCCCUGGCUGUGGGGAGGAGGCUAUUUGAGACUUUUUGUUUUGGGUGGUUAUGUUUAAUCAUCCUCCAUAGACGAAUCGAGUUCUCUUUCUCUUGUUUGAUUUCUUGUAUGUCUGCUCUAAAAUCUCCCUGGUAAUUCCAAACCACUCAAGAAUGUGUCACUGCUCUGGCGUGAAGGUUAUUCUCCCGGACGUUGGAAGCUUUUUUUCUGAGUGUCUCGAGGAGCUCGCUUUGGGGCAGUCCUCCCGUUAGGGGUUUGCUAGCAUGGCGGCUCCUCAUUACUGAGAGUGUCUCUGAUGCGCGACACAGGACAACAGAGGCGAGCUUUGGAAACGCGGUUGGUGCAGCAGGGAACGCCUCCAGGCUUCCGUGCAGGGAAGCAGGUACUAGAUUUUGCAUGGAGUCGGUGAUCCCAGGUGUAAGGGUCGGCCUCCAUAGUACUGAGCAUGGUCAUGCGAGCCCCUCUGUGAUCCCGUGGACCUGGGCCACCCACUGUGCAGCUGCUGAACUUGGUGCUUUGGGAUCCCAACCACACCUUGCCAUACCACGGUUGUCCCCCAACCGAGGUAACCUGUGCCGAGGUGGCCUGAGCUGGGUGAGGCGUGUGCACCAAGGCAACGCGGGCUGGCCGUUUUUGAGGCUCUCUGCAGAGUGGAAGUGACUGUUUACACAGGAGUCUCUAAACGACGAUCCUAGGAUGUUGAGAGCAGCAUGAUCUAAACCAAAUCAAUGUUGUAGGUCAUCACUGUAUUGGAGAUUCCAGUUUUCCAUGUGAGCCCGCGAGGUAGCCACAGAGCCGGGGCACCGGAUUAGGGGCUAAUUGCAAAUGGCACCUCCAGGAACGCGUCUUAGAGCCGGGCGCGCCGCACAGGGGGUGUGGCGCACAGGGGGUGUGGCGCACAGGGGGUGUGGC